This 386-nucleotide transfer-messenger RNA is filed under the name Helicobacter pylori. It matches the Rfam family "transfer-messenger RNA". Rfam says of the family: Bacterial tmRNA, also known as 10Sa RNA or SsrA, is named for its dual tRNA and mRNA-like properties. Its role is to liberate the mRNA from a stalled ribosome. To accomplish this part of the tmRNA is used as a reading frame that ends in a translation stop signal. Lineage: Bacteria; Pseudomonadati; Campylobacterota; Epsilonproteobacteria; Campylobacterales; Helicobacteraceae. RNAcentral also lists the same sequence under 1 other name. The record is from RNAcentral.
GGGGCUGACUUGGAUUUCGACAGAUUUCUUGUCGCACAGAUAGCAUGCCAAGCGCUGCUUGUAAAACAGCAACAAAAAUAACUGUAAACAACGCAGAUUACGCUCCAGCUUACGCUAAAGCUGCGUGAGUUAAUCUCCUUUUGGAGCUGGACUGAUUAGAAUUUCUAGCGUUUUAAUCACUCCAUAACCUUAAGCUAGACGCUUUUAAAAGGUGGUUCGCCUUUUAAAAUAAGAAACAAGAACUCUUGAAACUACCUCAAGGUUUUAGAAAGUUGGACCAGAGCUAGUUUUAAGGCUAAAAAAUUAACCAAUUUUCUAAGCAUUGUAGAAGUUUGUGUUUAGGACAAGAUUUUUGGACUGGGGUUCGAUUCCCCACAGCUCCACCA